This 1346-nucleotide ribosomal RNA is filed under the name uncultured bacterium. Its description in RNAcentral is "bacterial SSU rRNA". It matches the Rfam family "Bacterial small subunit ribosomal RNA", at positions 28 to 1381 of the family's 1533-position model. The record is from RNAcentral.
GACGAACGCUGGCGGCGUGCUUAACACAUGCAAGUCGAACGGAAAGGCCCUGCUUUUGUGGGGUGCUCGAGUGGCGAACGGGUGAGUAACACGUGAGUAACCUGCCCUUGACUUUGGGAUAACUUCAGGAAACUGGGGCUAAUACCGGAUAGGAGCUCCUGCUGCAUGGUGGGGGUUGGAAAGUUUCGGCGGUUGGGGAUGGACUCGCGGCUUAUCAGCUUGUUGGUGGGGUAGUGGCUUACCAAGGCUUUGACGGGUAGCCGGCCUGAGAGGGUGACCGGCCACAUUGGGACUGAGAUACGGCCCAGACUCCUACGGGAGGCAGCAGUGGGGAAUAUUGCACAAUGGGCGGAAGCCUGAUGCAGCAACGCCGCAUGCGGGAUGACGGCCUUCGGGUUGUAAACCGCUUUCGCCUGUGACGAAGCGUGAGUGACGGUAAUGGGUAAAGAAGCACCGGCUAACUACGUGCCAGCAGCCGCGGUGAUACGUAGGGUGCGAGCGUUGUCCGGAUUUAUUGGGCGUAAAGGGCUCGUAGGUGGUUGAUCGCGUCGGAAGUGUAAUCUUGGGGCUUAACCCUGAGCGUGCUUUCGAUACGGGUUGACUUGAGGAAGGUAGGGGAGAAUGGAAUUCCUGGUGGAGCGGUGGAAUGCGCAGAUAUCAGGAGGAACACCAGUGGCGAAGGCGGUUCUCUGGGCCUUUCCUGACGCUGAGGAGCGAAAGCGUGGGGAGCGAACAGGCUUAGAUACCCUGGUAGUCCACGCUGUAAACGGUGGGUACUAGGUGUGGGGUCCAUUCCACGGGUUCCGUGCCGUAGCUAACGCUUUAAGUACCCCGCCUGGGGAGUACGGCCGCAAGGCUAAAACUCAAAGGAAUUGACGGGGCCCCGCACAAGCGGCGGAGCAUGCGGAUUAAUUCGAUGCAACGCGUAGAACCUUACCUGGGUUUGACAUGGAUCGGGAGCGCUCAGAGAUGGGUGUGCCUCUUUUGGGGUCGGUUCACAGGUGGUGCAUGGCUGUCGUCAGCUCGUGUCGUGAGAUGUUGGGUUAAGUCCCGCAACGAGCGCAACCCUUGUUCACUGUUGCCAGCACGUUAUGGUGGGGACUCAGUGGAGACCGCCGGGGUCAGCUCGGAGGAAGGUGGGGAUGACGUCAAGUCAUCAUGCCCCUUAUGUCCAGGGCUUCACGCAUGCUACAAUGGCUGGUACAGAGAGUGGCGAGCCUGUGAGGGUGAGCGAAUCUCGGAAAGCCGGUCUCAGUUCGGAUUGGGGUCUGCAACUCGACCUCAUGAAGUCGGAGUCGCUAGUAAUCGCAGAUCAGCAACGCUGCGGUGAAUACGUUCCCGGGGCU